Molecule: small nuclear RNA, 99 nt
Filed under: Canis lupus familiaris (dog)
Lineage: Eukaryota; Metazoa; Chordata; Mammalia; Carnivora; Canidae
Source: RNAcentral
UUACUUUGGCAGUAAUUAUACUAAAUUGAAAUGAUACAGAAAUUAGCAUGUCUCUUGCACAAGGAUGACCUGCAUAUCUCUGAAGCACUCAAUAUUUUU